AGAUUCUGCAGUCUAACAUAAGAUUAGGGGAUGCUCAUCUAAACAAGAAGGAUCCCUCGAUGGUUUUAGCCAGGUGGGUGGAACUUCAGCAAUCUGUAAAUGUGCUCUUUACCAGUAACACUUCUGGUUGCCAUUGAAAAUCUUUCCACAUAACAAGCAGAAGUGGAGGUUGAGGUUCGAGGUCCUCCAGUUUCAAAAUUGUUUGAUCAUGAAGGAAAUCCAACAAAGGCCAUUGAAGGAUUUUCCCGUAGAUAUUCUGUUCCACUGGACUUGGUAUACUGAAAGGUUGAUGGAAAAACAGAAUAUGUUUAUGCUCGUGUGAAGGAGCUUUCAAGAUAUUCUUUAGAGGUUCUGUCUGAAGAUUUGCCUGCUACUAUUUCUAAAAUAUCAUUUCCAAAGACGAUGAAAUGCAAUUCCCAGGUAUGUGGGAUUUGAGGCAGAUGAAGAACCAGAAAUCUCCCAAAUACGAUCUUCCGUUGAACAAGAUAUUUAAAGAACAAGAUUUUUUUUCUCAUCUAUGAGAAGGUUAAUAAUUUUUAUUAGAAGAUACUUAUGUAGGAUACAAUAUUUUGGUUUUUUAUAGUUUAUUAGUAGUAAAUUCUAAGUGGUGUAAUGUAUAUUUUGAUAUGGGUAUGUUUAAUUUAGUGUGAGAUGUAUGAAUACUCAUUUAUGAUCAUCCCAAUAUUUUUAGUUCAUUAUAAAUAUAUUUUGUUAAAGGAUAAUUUUUA
This is a long non-coding RNA of Arachis duranensis, 728 nucleotides long. RefSeq lists it as uncharacterized. Lineage: Eukaryota; Viridiplantae; Streptophyta; Magnoliopsida; Fabales; Fabaceae. The record is from RefSeq and is a predicted model, not a curated record. The transcript has 5 exons.